This 492-nucleotide ribosomal RNA is filed under the name uncultured bacterium. RNAcentral's name for it is "partial 16S ribosomal RNA". It matches the Rfam family "Bacterial small subunit ribosomal RNA", at positions 29 to 507 of the family's 1533-position model. The record is from RNAcentral.
AGUGAACGCUGGCGGUAGGCCUAACACAUGCAAGUCGAACGGCAGCACAGUAAGAGCUUGCUCUUACGGGUGGCGAGUGGCGGACGGGUGCGGAAUACAACGGAAUAUACCUUAUCGUGGGGGAUAACGUAGGGCAAACUACGCUAAUACCGCAUACGACCUACGGGUGAAAGAAGGGACUCUACGGACCUCGCGCGAUCGAUUGAGCCGAUGUCGGAUUAGCCAGUUGGCGGGGUAAAGGCCCACCAAGGCGACGAUCCGUAGCUGGUCUGGGAUGAUGAUCAACCCCACUGGAACUGAGAAUCGGUCCAGACUCCUACGGGAGGCUGCGGCGGGGAAUAUUGGACAGUGCGCGCAAACCUGAUCCAGCCAUACCGCGUGGGUCAAGAAGCCCUUCGGGUUGUAAAGCCCUUUUGUUGGGAAAGAAAAGCAGCAGGUUAAUACCCCGCUGUUCUGACGGUACCCUAAGAAUAAGCUGCGGCUAACUUCGUG